GACGAACGCUGGCGGCGUGCUUAACACAUGCAAGUCGAACGAAAAGGCCCUGAGUUUGUGGGGUUCUCGAUUGGCGAGCGGGUGAGUAACACGUGAGUAACCUGCCCUUGUCUUUGGGAUAACUUUAGGAAACUGCGGCGAAUACCCGAUAGGAUCUCUUGCUCCAUGUUGGUGGUUGGAAAGUUUCGGCGGUUGGGGAUGGUCUCGCUGGUUAUCAGCUUGUUUGUCUGGUAGUGGCUUACAAAGGCUUUGACGGGUAGCCCGCCUGAGAGGGUGACCGGCGACCUGGGGACUGAGAUAGGGACCAGAAGGCUACCGGAGGCAGCGGUGGGGAGUAUUGCGCAGUGGGCGGAAGCCUGAGGUAGAAACCCUGCGUGCGUGAUGACGUCUUUCGGGUGAUAAACAGAUUUGGAAGGAGCCGAAGCGUUCGUGACGGUACUGAGUAAGAAAGCCCCGGCUAACUACGUG
Molecule: ribosomal RNA, 468 nt
Filed under: uncultured bacterium
Lineage: Bacteria
Description: partial 16S ribosomal RNA
Rfam family: Bacterial small subunit ribosomal RNA
Source: RNAcentral